CCCAUCCUGACUUCAUCAGUGUGCUGUGAGGGCCAGGCAGGGAGGUCGGGCAUUGGGAUUGAUUGGAUUUUAUUUGCUCCACGGAACACCCAGUGGGCAUCAGUCACCUUUCCCUGGGCAGUAAUGUGUCACAACAGAUCAUUCUGCUCCUCUUACUUAAAAGCACUCAACAGACCCUGCGAGGCUAGAAUAAAAACAAUGUAGUAAAGCAUUAGGAAACAAGGG
Molecule: non-coding RNA, 225 nt
Organism: Pelobates cultripes (western spadefoot toad)
Lineage: Eukaryota; Metazoa; Chordata; Amphibia; Anura; Pelobatidae
Source: the annotation of a GenBank genome assembly